RNAcentral lists this ribosomal RNA (253 nucleotides) under uncultured Desulfovibrio sp. RNAcentral describes it as "partial 16S ribosomal RNA". It matches the Rfam family "Bacterial small subunit ribosomal RNA", at positions 524 to 776 of the family's 1533-position model. Lineage: Bacteria; Pseudomonadati; Thermodesulfobacteriota; Desulfovibrionia; Desulfovibrionales; Desulfovibrionaceae. The record is from RNAcentral.
UACGUAGGGGGCAAGCGUUAUCCGGAUUUACUGGGUGUAAAGGGAGCGUAGACGGCAGCACAAGUCUGGAGUGAAAUCCCACGGCUCAACCGUGGAACAGCCCUUGAUACUGCGCGACUUGAAUCCGGGAGAGGGUGGCGGAAUUCCAGGUGUAGGAGUGAAAUCCGUAGAUAUCUGGAGGAACAUCAGUGGCGAAGGCGGCCACCUGGACCGGUAUUGACGCUGAGGCGCGAAAGCGUGGGGAGCAAACAGG